GCGGAUGUGGCGGAACUGGAAUACGCGUAGCGUUCAGAACGCUAUGCCGCAAGGCUUGUGGGUUCGAGUCCCACCAUCCGCACCA
This 85-nucleotide transfer RNA is filed under the name bacterium. RNAcentral's name for it is "tRNA-Leu". It matches the Rfam family "tRNA". From Rfam's summary of the family: Transfer RNA (tRNA) molecules are approximately 80 nucleotides in length. Their secondary structure includes four short double-helical elements and three loops (D, anti-codon, and T loops). Further hydrogen bonds mediate the characteristic L-shaped molecular structure. tRNAs have two regions of fundamental functional importance: the anti-codon, which is responsible for specific mRNA codon recognition, and the 3' end, to which the tRNAs corresponding amino acid is attached (by aminoacyl-tRNA synthetases). tRNAs cope with the degeneracy of the genetic code in two manners: having more than one tRNA (with a specific anti-codon) for a particular amino acid; and 'wobble' base-pairing, i.e. permitting non-standard base-pairing at the 3rd anti-codon position. The record is from RNAcentral.